RNAcentral lists this ribosomal RNA (1533 nucleotides) under Klebsiella aerogenes EA1509E. RNAcentral's name for it is "SSU rRNA". It matches the Rfam family "Bacterial small subunit ribosomal RNA". Lineage: Bacteria; Pseudomonadati; Pseudomonadota; Gammaproteobacteria; Enterobacterales; Enterobacteriaceae. The record is from RNAcentral.
AGAGUUUGAUCAUGGCUCAGAUUGAACGCUGGCGGCAGGCCUAACACAUGCAAGUCGAGCGGUAGCACAGAGAGCUUGCUCUCGGGUGACGAGCGGCGGACGGGUGAGUAAUGUCUGGGAAACUGCCUGAUGGAGGGGGAUAACUACUGGAAACGGUAGCUAAUACCGCAUAACGUCGCAAGACCAAAGUGGGGGACCUUCGGGCCUCAUGCCAUCAGAUGUGCCCAGAUGGGAUUAGCUAGUAGGUGGGGUAAUGGCUCACCUAGGCGACGAUCCCUAGCUGGUCUGAGAGGAUGACCAGCCACACUGGAACUGAGACACGGUCCAGACUCCUACGGGAGGCAGCAGUGGGGAAUAUUGCACAAUGGGCGCAAGCCUGAUGCAGCCAUGCCGCGUGUAUGAAGAAGGCCUUCGGGUUGUAAAGUACUUUCAGCGAGGAGGAAGGCGUUAAGGUUAAUAACCUUGGCGAUUGACGUUACUCGCAGAAGAAGCACCGGCUAACUCCGUGCCAGCAGCCGCGGUAAUACGGAGGGUGCAAGCGUUAAUCGGAAUUACUGGGCGUAAAGCGCACGCAGGCGGUCUGUCAAGUCGGAUGUGAAAUCCCCGGGCUCAACCUGGGAACUGCAUUCGAAACUGGCAGGCUAGAGUCUUGUAGAGGGGGGUAGAAUUCCAGGUGUAGCGGUGAAAUGCGUAGAGAUCUGGAGGAAUACCGGUGGCGAAGGCGGCCCCCUGGACAAAGACUGACGCUCAGGUGCGAAAGCGUGGGGAGCAAACAGGAUUAGAUACCCUGGUAGUCCACGCCGUAAACGAUGUCGACUUGGAGGUUGUGCCCUUGAGGCGUGGCUUCCGGAGCUAACGCGUUAAGUCGACCGCCUGGGGAGUACGGCCGCAAGGUUAAAACUCAAAUGAAUUGACGGGGGCCCGCACAAGCGGUGGAGCAUGUGGUUUAAUUCGAUGCAACGCGAAGAACCUUACCUACUCUUGACAUCCAGAGAACUUAGCAGAGAUGCUUUGGUGCCUUCGGGAACUCUGAGACAGGUGCUGCAUGGCUGUCGUCAGCUCGUGUUGUGAAAUGUUGGGUUAAGUCCCGCAACGAGCGCAACCCUUAUCCUUUGUUGCCAGCGAUUCGGUCGGGAACUCAAAGGAGACUGCCAGUGAUAAACUGGAGGAAGGUGGGGAUGACGUCAAGUCAUCAUGGCCCUUACGAGUAGGGCUACACACGUGCUACAAUGGCAUAUACAAAGAGAAGCGACCUCGCGAGAGCAAGCGGACCUCAUAAAGUAUGUCGUAGUCCGGAUUGGAGUCUGCAACUCGACUCCAUGAAGUCGGAAUCGCUAGUAAUCGUAGAUCAGAAUGCUACGGUGAAUACGUUCCCGGGCCUUGUACACACCGCCCGUCACACCAUGGGAGUGGGUUGCAAAAGAAGUAGGUAGCUUAACCUUCGGGAGGGCGCUUACCACUUUGUGAUUCAUGACUGGGGUGAAGUCGUAACAAGGUAACCGUAGGGGAACCUGCGGUUGGAUCACCUCCUUA